This 254-nucleotide ribosomal RNA is filed under the name uncultured bacterium. RNAcentral's name for it is "partial 16S ribosomal RNA". It matches the Rfam family "Bacterial small subunit ribosomal RNA", at positions 524 to 776 of the family's 1533-position model. The record is from RNAcentral.
UACGGGGGGAGCAAGCGUUGUUCGGAUUUACUGGGCGUAAAGGGCGCGUAGGCGGCCAGCACAAGUCAGUUGUGAAAUCUCCGAGCUUAACUCGGAACGGUCAACUGAUACUGUGCGGCUAGAGUGCGGAAGGGGCAACUGGAAUUCUUGGUGUAGCGGUGAAAUGCGUAGAUAUCAAGAGGAACACCUGCGGCGAAGGCGGGUUGCUGGGCCGACACUGACGCUGAGGCGCGAAAGCUAGGGGAGCAAACGGG